UUAACUAUUAUAUAGUACUCAGACAUCACUAAAAUUCAGAGUUUGGUCCUCUGGCAGGCACUUGCAGGCAGAGCCCGCAGUGGGAGACCACGGCCUGCCAAAGCAACAAGAGUAAAUAGACACGGGUGGGGUAUACCGGUGAGGGUAUCCUUUUGUGUAAUGAUCCUUCCGCAGGUUCACCUACGGAAA
RNAcentral lists this unclassified non-coding RNA (189 nucleotides) under uncultured fungus. RNAcentral describes it as "sequence contains ITS1". The record is from RNAcentral. Lineage: Eukaryota; Fungi.